AGUGAACGCUGGCGGUAGGCCUAACACAUGCAAGUCGAACGGCAGCACAGUAAGAGCUUGCUCUUACGGGUGGCGAGUGGCGGACGGGUGAGGAAUACAUCGGAAUCUACUUUUUCGUGGGGGAUAACGUAGGGAAACUUACGCUAAUACCGCAUACGACCUACGGGUGAAAGCAGGGGAUCUUCGGACCUUGCGCGAUUGAAUGAGCCGAUGUCGGAUUAGCUAGUUGGCGGGGUAAAGGCCCACCAAGGCGACGAUCCGUAGCUGGUCUGAGAGGAUGAUAAGCCACACUGGAACUGAGACACGGUCCAGACGCCUAAGGGAGGCAGCAGUCGGGAAUAUUGGACAAUAGGCGCAAGCCUGAUCCAGCCAUACCGAGUGGGUGAAGAAGGCCUUCGGGUUGUAAAGCCCUUUUGUUGGGAAAGAAAAGCAGCAGGUUAAUACCCCGCUGUUCUGACGGUACCCAAAGAAUAAGCACCGGCUAACUUCGUG
This 492-nucleotide ribosomal RNA is filed under the name uncultured bacterium. Its description in RNAcentral is "partial 16S ribosomal RNA". It matches the Rfam family "Bacterial small subunit ribosomal RNA", at positions 29 to 507 of the family's 1533-position model. The record is from RNAcentral.